RNAcentral lists this ribosomal RNA (1372 nucleotides) under uncultured bacterium. RNAcentral's name for it is "bacterial SSU rRNA". It matches the Rfam family "Bacterial small subunit ribosomal RNA", at positions 28 to 1381 of the family's 1533-position model. The record is from RNAcentral.
GAUGAACGCUGGCGGCGUGCCUAAUACAUGCAAGUCGAGCGAACGGACGAGAAGCUUGCUUCUCUGAUGUUAGCGGCGGACGGGUGAGUAACACGUGGAUAACCUACCUAUAAGACUGGGAUAACUUCGGGAAACCGGAGCUAAUACCGGAUGAUAUUUUGAACCGCAUGGUUCAAAAGUGAAAGACGGUCUUGCCGUCACUUAUAGAUGGAUCCGCGCUGCAUUAGCUAGUUGGUAAGGUAACGGCUUACCAAGGCAACGAUGCAUAGCCGACCUGAGAGGGUGAUCGGCCACACUGGAACUGAGACACGGUCCAGACUCCUACGGGAGGCAGCAGUAGGGAAUCUUCCGCAAUGGGCGAAAGCCUGACGGAGCAACGCCGCGUGAGUGAUGAAGGUCUUCGGAUCGUAAAACUCUGUUAUUAGGGAAGAACAUAUGUGUAAGUAACUGUGCACAUCUUGACGGUACCUAAUCAGAAAGCCACGGCUAACUACGUGCCAGCAGCCGCGGUAAUACGUAGGUGGCAAGCGUUAUCCGGAAUUAUUGGGCGUAAAGCGCGCGUAGGCGGUUUUUUAAGUCUGAUGUGAAAGCCCACGGCUCAACCGUGGAGGGUCAUUGGAAACUGGAAAACUUGAGUGCAGAAGAGGAAAGUGGAAUUCCAUGUGUAGCGGUGAAAUGCGCAGAGAUAUGGAGGAACACCAGUGGCGAAGGCGACUUUCUGGUCUGUAACUGACGCUGAUGUGCGAAAGCGUGGGGAUCAAACAGGAUUAGAUACCCUGGUAGUCCACGCCGUAAACGAUGAGUGCUAAGUGUUAGGGGGUUUCCGCCCCUUAGUGCUGCAGCUAACGCAUUAAGCACUCCGCCUGGGGAGUACGACCGCAAGGUUGAAACUCAAAGGAAUUGACGGGGACCCGCACAAGCGGUGGAGCAUGUGGUUUAAUUCGAAGCAACGCGAAGAACCUUACCAAAUCUUGACAUCCUUUGACAACUCUAGAGAUAGAGCCUUCCCCUUCGGGGGACAAAGUGACAGGUGGUGCAUGGUUGUCGUCAGCUCGUGUCGUGAGAUGUUGGGUUAAGUCCCGCAACGAGCGCAACCCUUAAGCUUAGUUGCCAUCAUUAAGUUGGGCACUCUAAGUUGACUGCCGGUGACAAACCGGAGGAAGGUGGGGAUGACGUCAAAUCAUCAUGCCCCUUAUGAUUUGGGCUACACACGUGCUACAAUGGACAAUACAAAGGGCAGCGAAACCGCGAGGUCAAGCAAAUCCCAUAAAGUUGUUCUCAGUUCGGAUUGUAGUCUGCAACUCGACUACAUGAAGCUGGAAUCGCUAGUAAUCGUAGAUCAGCAUGCUACGGUGAAUACGUUCCCGGGUCU